ACUUCAUUCACCAGGCUGUACUUCACCAGGCUGUACUUCAUUCACCAGGCUGUACUUCAUUCACCAGGAUCUACUUCAUUCACCAGGCUGUACUUCACCAGGCCGUACUUCACCAGGAUGUACUUCAUUUACCAGGCUGUACUUCACCAGGCUGUACUUAAUUCACCUGGCUGUACUUCAUUCACCAGGCUGUACUUCAUUCACCAAGAUGUACUUCAUUCACCAGGCUGUACUUCACCAGGCUGUACUUAAUUCACCUGGCUGUACUUCAUUCACCAGGCUGUACUUCAUUCACCAAGAUGUACUUCAUUCACCAGGCUGUACUUCACCAGGCUGUACUUCAUUCACCAGGCUGUACUUCACCAGGCUGUACCUCAUUCACCAGGCUGUACUUCACCAGGCUGUACUUCAUUCACCAG
Long non-coding RNA from Oncorhynchus tshawytscha (Chinook salmon), 419 nucleotides. NCBI's taxonomy places the organism in Eukaryota, Metazoa, Chordata, Actinopteri, Salmoniformes, Salmonidae. The record is from Ensembl.